UGUAGUGCUUUCCAAGGAAUUUACAAGAGAAUAUGACCAGACUGCAUGUAGUCAUCUUCAUGUUCUUGAUUAGUUUCUGCCAAUCCGAUGACCGCCUAACACCGGCAAAGCCACUCAUCUUCCCCGGCGGCGACAAGCUCAUCUCGGAUGGCGGCGUCUUUGCUGUCGGCUUCUUCUCCCUGACCACCACCAACUCAACCCCAAGCCUGCUCUACCUUGGCAUAUGGUACAACAACAUCCCGGAGCGCACCUAUGUCUGGGUCGCCAACCGCGACAACCCAAUCACCACCCAUACGGCGAGGCUGGCUGUUACCAACACCUCCGGGCUUGUGCUAUCCGACUCCAAGGGGACCACGGCGAACACGGUCACCAUCGGAGGUGGUGGAGCCACCGCGGUGCUGCAGAACACGGGCAACUUCGUGCUCCGGUUGCCCGAUCACCCCACGGACACGAUCCUCCCUGGCCUCCCUGGCUUCAAGCUAUGGACGAACAUACAAGAACCAUGAGGCGGUGCGCGUAGUUGCUUGGAGGGGUCGUCGCGACCCGUCCACCUGCGAGUUCUCCCUCAGCGGUGACCCUGACCAGUGGGGGCUCCAUAUCGUCAUCUGGCAUGGGGCGAGCCCGUCGUGGCGCAGCGGUGUCUGGAACGGCGCGACGGCCACCGGCCUCACCAGGUACAUAUGGUCCCAGAUCGUUGACAAUGGCGAGGAGAUCUACGCGAUAUACAACGCAGCUGAUGGCAUUUUGACACACUGGAAGCUGGACUACACCGGGAACGUGAGCUUCCGGGCAUGGAACAACGUAUCAUCGACUUGGACGAGCCCAUUCGAGCGACCAGGCCAUGGCUGUCUCCACUACGGCGCCUGCGGGCCGUUCGGCUACUGCGACAUCACCGGCAGCUUCCAGGAGUGCAAGUGCCUUGAUGGCUUCGAGCCGGCCGAUGGAUUUAGCCUCAACUCUUCCAGAGGAUGCCGAAGAAAGGAGGAGCUGAGAUGCGGUGGCCAAGACCAUUUCUUCACCUUACCAGGGAUGAAGGUGCCGGACAAGUUCUUGUACAUCAGGAACAGAACCUUUGAGGAGUGUGCCGAUGAGUGCGACCGCAACUGCUCGUGCACGGCAUACGCUUAUGCCAACUUGAGAACUAUCCUCACGACGGGUGACCCCUCAAGGUGCUUGGUAUGGAUGGGGGAGCUUCUCGACUCGGAGAAAGCCAGUGCCGUUGGUGAGAACCUGUACCUUCGACUCGCCGGCUCUCCUGCAGUAAACAACAAGAACAUUGUAAAGAUUGUACUCCCAGCUAUAGCAUGCCUGCUGAUACUGACAGCAUGCUCAUGCGUUGUACUCUGUAAAUGCGAGUCAAGAGGCAUACGACGAAACAAGGAAGUACUUAAAAAAACGGAGCUAGGAUACUUGAGUGCUUUUCAUGACUCAUGGGAUCAAAAUCUAGAGUUCCCUGAUAUUAGCUAUGAAGACCUCACCUCUGCAACAAACGGUUUCCAUGAAACUAACAUGCUUGGAAAAGGUGGUUUUGGCAAAGUAUAUAAGGGAACAUUGGAAGAUGGCAUGGAAGUUGCUGUUAAAAGGCUUAACAAGGAUUCUGAGCAAGGGGUAGAGCAAUUUAGGAAUGAAGUAGUUCUUAUUGCAAAACUGCAGCAUAAGAACCUAGUUAGACUUCUUGGUUGUUGCAUUCAUGGAGAUGAGAAGUUGCUUAUUUAUGAAUACUUACCCAACAAAAGCUUAGACAAAUUCCUCUUUGAUCACGCAAUGAAGUCUGUGAUUGAUUGGCAAACAAGGUUUAACAUAAUCAAAGGGGUAGCUAGAGGACUUCUUUAUCUCCAUCAAGAUUCAAGAAUGAUGAUAAUUCAUAGAGAUCUCAAGACAAGCAACAUCUUGUUGGAUGCAGAGAUGAACCCAAAAAUAUCAGAUUUUGGUAUGGCAAGGAUUUUUGGAAACAGUGAACAGCAAGCAAGUACUAGACGAGUCGUUGGGACCUACGGCUACAUGGCACCUGAAUAUGCAAUGGAAGGCAUUUUUUCAGUCAAAUCUGACACCUAUAGCUUUGGCGUAUUGCUACUGGAGAUUGUAAGUGGAUUAAAGAUCAGCUCCCCUCAUCAUAUUGUGAUGGAUUUUCCGAACCUUAUAGCUUAUGCAUGGAACUUGUGGAAAGAUGGAAUGGCAGAGGCUUUCGUAGACAAAAUGGUUCUGGAGAGCUGUUUGCUUAAUGAAGUAUUGCAAUGCAUCCAUAUUGGACUAUUGUGUGUUCAGGACAGCCCAAAUGCCAGGCCGCAUAUGUCAUUAGUUGUGUCGAUGCUGGACAACGAGGACAUGGCACGCCCAAUACCGAAGCAGCCUAUAUAUUUCGUGCAAAGGCAUUACGACGAAGAAGAAAGACAAGGCUCGGAAAGUUCCGUUAAUAACGCGAGCCUGACAGCGCUAGAAGGCCGCUAGACUGUAAGAGAUUAAACUCUCAAGCAGUUUCUGCAGUUGUACAUUACUACAGUAGGAGCUGAGGUUUAUAGAUCUUGUAAAAGAAUGCAUUGCAUAAGCAGAUUGAUGUACCCCUAAUCCGAUUUGCAACAUAUGGGUAAAAAUAAAUAAGUGGUUCCAUGUGCAAUUCACUCAUGAGAUGUUGAAAAGAAUGACUUGCACAGGCAGUUUUGUUG
This is a non-coding RNA of Oryza sativa Japonica Group (Japanese rice), 2663 nucleotides long. NCBI's taxonomy places the organism in Eukaryota, Viridiplantae, Streptophyta, Magnoliopsida, Poales, Poaceae. The record is from RefSeq and is a predicted model, not a curated record.